This 75-nucleotide transfer RNA is filed under the name Bacteroidota bacterium. Its description in RNAcentral is "Bacteroidetes bacterium tRNA-Gly". It matches the Rfam family "tRNA". Rfam says of the family: Transfer RNA (tRNA) molecules are approximately 80 nucleotides in length. Their secondary structure includes four short double-helical elements and three loops (D, anti-codon, and T loops). The record is from RNAcentral. RNAcentral also lists the same sequence under 1 other name. Lineage: Bacteria; Pseudomonadati; Bacteroidota.
GCGGGAAUAGCUCAGUGGUAGAGCAUCAGCUUCCCAAGCUGAGGGUCGCGGGUUCGACCCCCGUUUCCCGCUCCA